This 155-nucleotide ribosomal RNA is filed under the name Demodex caprae. Its description in RNAcentral is "5.8S ribosomal RNA". It matches the Rfam family "5.8S ribosomal RNA". From Rfam's summary of the family: 5.8S ribosomal RNA (5.8S rRNA) is a component of the large subunit of the eukaryotic ribosome. It is transcribed by RNA polymerase I as part of the 45S precursor that also contains 18S and 28S rRNA. The record is from RNAcentral. Lineage: Eukaryota; Metazoa; Arthropoda; Arachnida; Trombidiformes; Demodicidae.
AAAACAACUGCAAGCGAUAGAUCACUCGGAUUGCCAAUCGAUGAAGAGCGCAGCAAGCUGCGUUAAUCGAUGCGAAAUACAGAAUACAUUGAGCAUUUGAAUCUCUAAUGCACAUUGCAACCCUGAGCAAUUCUCGUGGUUACAUCUUUCCGAGA